CAGUCGCCGCGGUAAUACGUAGGUGGCAAGCGUUGUCCGGAAUUAUUGGGCGUAAAGGGCUCGCAGGCGGUUUCUUAAGACUGAUGUGAAAGCCCCCGGCUCAACCGGGGAGGGUCAUUGGAAACUGGGAAACUUGAGUGCAGAAGAGGAGAGUGGAAUUCCACGUGUAGCGGUGAAAUGCGUAGAGAUGUGGAGGAACACCAGUGGCGAAGGCGACUCUCUGGUCUGUAACUGACGCUGAGGAGCGAAAGCGUGGGGAGCGAACAGGAUUAGAUACCCGGGUAGUCCCUGUCUCUUAUAC
Molecule: ribosomal RNA, 301 nt
Filed under: uncultured bacterium
Lineage: Bacteria
Description: partial 16S ribosomal RNA
Rfam family: Bacterial small subunit ribosomal RNA
Source: RNAcentral